Molecule: ribosomal RNA, 220 nt
Filed under: uncultured bacterium
Lineage: Bacteria
Description: partial 16S ribosomal RNA
Rfam family: Bacterial small subunit ribosomal RNA
Source: RNAcentral
AAACGUCUCAGUUCGGAUUGUAGUCUGCAACUCGACUACAUGAAGCUGGAAUCGCUAGUAAUCGCGAAUCAGAAUGUCGCGGUGAAUACGUUCCCGGGUCUUGUACACACCGCCCGUCACACCAUGGGAGUCAGCAACGCCCGAAGCCGGUGACCCAACCGAAAGGAGGGAGCCGUCGAAGGUGGGGCCGAUAACUGGGGUGAAGUCGUAACAAGGUAUC